UAGAAAUAUACAAAAUUAAUUUCACUGAACCACUCUUUGACUCUCUUCAGCUAGGAAAUUUACAGAGCUCUAUCAAAACUAUAUAGCACCUCUGUGUAUUAUAUGGGGAGUUGGAAGCUUAAAACUUUAAAAU
This is a long non-coding RNA of Drosophila navojoa, 133 nucleotides long. Lineage: Eukaryota; Metazoa; Arthropoda; Insecta; Diptera; Drosophilidae. The record is from RefSeq and is a predicted model, not a curated record.